UGGGUGAUGCACCACUUUUCAGCUCCAUGA
Molecule: non-coding RNA, 30 nt
Filed under: Homo sapiens (human)
Lineage: Eukaryota; Metazoa; Chordata; Mammalia; Primates; Hominidae
Source: RNAcentral